This is a long non-coding RNA of Syzygium oleosum, 320 nucleotides long. RefSeq lists it as uncharacterized. NCBI's taxonomy places the organism in Eukaryota, Viridiplantae, Streptophyta, Magnoliopsida, Myrtales, Myrtaceae. The transcript has 2 exons. The record is from RefSeq and is a predicted model, not a curated record.
UUUUCAUUAACCCAUCGACUAUGUAUGUUUCAAAUUAAGGUAAUGGCUGUAAAUUGCUUGCCAUCAGAUGCGGAAGAGCAAAUUUUAUUUUCUUUCAGUUGUGAUGACGGUUAAGAAACGCAGUGUAAGGAAGAGCUUUAGGCAAUAGCAUAAAUGACAGAGAGUACAUGACUUAUGAUUAACAUUACCCUGAACUCCCAAUCUCUCAUUCUCUCUUCCGUGAGACCGUGGUAGACUUUGAAGCUGUUAGAUUUCAACACUACCUGUCUGCUCUAGCUUUGUGAUUCAAUUCAGUUGUUUAUCUGCGUAUUAUUUUGUGC